AGAUGUUUUGGGACUACAAUUCCCAUCAUCCCUGACCACUGGUCCUGUUAGCUAGGGAUGAUGGGAGUUGUAGUCCCAAAACAGCUG
This is a non-coding RNA of Podarcis lilfordi (Lilford's wall lizard), 87 nucleotides long. The record is from the annotation of a GenBank genome assembly. Lineage: Eukaryota; Metazoa; Chordata; Lepidosauria; Squamata; Lacertidae.